Molecule: transfer RNA, 74 nt
Filed under: Blastocatellia bacterium
Lineage: Bacteria; Pseudomonadati; Acidobacteriota; Blastocatellia
Description: tRNA-Cys
Rfam family: tRNA
About the family: Transfer RNA (tRNA) molecules are approximately 80 nucleotides in length.
Source: RNAcentral
GGCGGCGUAGCCAAGUGGUAAGGCGAAGGUCUGCAAAACCUUAUUCGCUGGUUCGAAUCCAGCCGCCGCCUCCA